RNAcentral lists this transfer RNA (61 nucleotides) under Aptornis defossor (South Island adzebill). Its description in RNAcentral is "partial tRNA-Trp". It matches the Rfam family "tRNA", at positions 11 to 71 of the family's 71-position model. From Rfam's summary of the family: Transfer RNA (tRNA) molecules are approximately 80 nucleotides in length. Lineage: Eukaryota; Metazoa; Chordata; Aves; Gruiformes; Aptornithidae. The record is from RNAcentral.
AUUAAACCUAAACCAAAGGCCUUCAAAGCCUUAAACAAGAGUUAAAUUCUCUUAGUUUCUG